CGGGGCGGCAGCGGCGAGCGCAGCCCCCGCACCUCUUCCCUCCGCGGUCCCCGCUCCAUCUGGAAGGACGUGGCUGUUAUAUGAAGACCCUGUGUGGACAGUAAUGACCGCACGUUUCCGAUUGCCUGCUGGCAGAACCUACAAUGUACGAGCAUCUGAGCUGGCACGAGACAGGCAGCAUACGGAGGUGGUCUGCAACAUUCUUCUCCUGGAUAACACUGUACAAGCUUUCAGAGUUAAUAAACAUGAUCAGGGACAAGUUCUGUUGGAUGUAGUCUUCAAGCAUCUCGAUUUGACAGAGAGAGAUUACUUUGGUUUACAGUUGGCUGAUGAAUCUGCUGAUAACCCUAGGUGGCUGGAUCCAAACAAACCUAUCAGAAAACAAUUAAAAAGAGGAUCUCCUCACAGUUUGAACUUCAGAGUUAAGUUUUUUGUAAGUGACCCAAACAAGCUCCAAGAAGAAUAUACAAGGUACCAGUAUUUUUUGCAAAUUAAACAGGACAUUCUUGCUGGAAGAUUGCCGUGUCCUUACAAUACUGCUGCUCUUCUGGCUUCCUAUGCUGUUCAGUCUGAGCUGGGAGACUACAACCGUUCAGAAAGCUUGCCAGGCUACCUCUCAGACUAUUCUUUCAUCCCUAGCCAGCCUCAAGACUUUGAAAAAGAAAUAGCAAAAUUACAUCAGCAGCACAUAGGAUUGUCUCCUGCAGAAGCAGAGUUCAGUUAUCUCAAUACAGCACGUACCUUAGAACUUUAUGGAGUUGAAUUGCACUAUGCUAGGGAUCAGAGUAACAAUGAAAUAAUGAUUGGAGUGAUGUCAGGUGGAAUACUAAUUUUUAAGAACAGAGUACGAAUUAACACUUUUCAGUGGUUGAAGAUUGUAAAAAUUUCUUUUAAGUGCAAGCAGUUUUUUAUUCAACUUAGGAAAGAAUUGCAUGAAUCUAGAGAAACGUUACUGGGAUUCAAUAUGGUGAAUUACCGUGCAUGUAAGAAUUUGUGGAAAGCUUGUGUGGAGCAUCACACAUUCUUCCGUUUGGACAGACCGCUCCCCCCUCAGAAGAACUUUUUUGCACAUUAUUUCACCUUGGGUUCCAAGUUCCGGUACUGUGGGAGAACAGAGGUCCAGUCUGUGCAGUAUGGUAAAGAAAGAGCAAACAAAGAUAGGGUAUUUGCAAGAUCACCCAGUAAACCCUUGGCACGGAAAUUAAUGAGUGGGAUGGACUGGGAAGUAGUGAGUAGGAAUUCACUGUCUGAUGAUAGGUUGGAAACACAAAGCCUGCCAUCACGGUCUCCACCUGGAACCCCAAAUCAUCGAAACUCUGCCUUCACUCAAGAAGGAGCACGGUUACGACCCUCAUCAGUUGGACAUUUAGUGGACCAUGUAGUUCACACAUCCCCAAGUGAAGUAUUUGUAAAUCACAGAUCUCCGUCUUCCACCCAGGCUAAUAGCAUCAUACUGGAAUCAUCACCAUCUCAAGAAACUCCUAUAGAUGGGCAGCCUCCUGCAUUACCACCCAAACAAUUUAAAAAGAACAGUUGGAACCAAAUUCAUCAUUCGCACUCACAGCAAGAACUGGAUAACCAUAUUAAUGAAACAUUUGAUGUUCCUGCAUCACCAGAAAAAUCCACACCCAAUGGUGGUGUCCCUCAUGACAAUCUUGUUAUGAUCAGAAUGAAACCAGAUGAAAAUGGAAGGUUUGGCUUCAAUGUAAAGGGUGGAUAUGAUCAGAAGAUGCCAGUAAUAGUGUCCAGGGUAGCUCCAGGAACACCUGCUGAUCUCUGUGUCCCUCGUCUGAAUGAAGGGGAUCAGGUUGUACUGAUUAACGGCAGGGAUAUAGCAGAACAUACCCAUGACCAAGUUGUUAUGUUUAUUAAAGCUAGCUGUGAGAGACACUCAGGGGAACUUGUGCUCCUAGUUCGACCCAAUGCUGUCUAUGAUGUUGUGGAAGAGAAGCUGGAGAGUGAGCCUGACUUCCAGUACAUCCCUGAGAAAUCUCCACUUGAUGGUGUCCAUCAGGAUGAUAAUGCUCUGAGAGAAUCCAUGAUUCAGCUAGCAGAGGGGCUUAUCACUGGAACUGUUUUGGCUCAGUUUGAUCAAUUGUAUAGGAAAAAGCCUGGAAUGACAAUGUCUUGUGCCAGAUUACCUCAAAACAUUUCCAAAAAUAGAUACAGAGACAUUUCGCCUUAUGAUGCUACACGGGUUAUUUUAAAAAGUAAUGAAGAUUACAUCAAUGCAAAUUACAUAAAUAUGGAAAUCCCUUCUUCCACAAUAAUAAACCAGUACAUUGCUUGUCAAGGUCCAUUACCAAACACUUGUCCUGACUUUUGGCAGAUGACUUGGGAACAAGGCUCAUCUAUGGUUGUAAUGUUAACGACUCAAGUUGAACGGGGCAGAGCAGACUCCCUGCUCUAAAGCUGAUCAUGAGGCUACUGACAUCACUAGCCCACUGCAUGCCGGGAUGUCUCAGUGGAGCAGGAAGUCUGCAAAUCUGGCUGCUCUUAAAGAAUUGCCAGGUUAAAUGCCACCAGUACUGGCCAGAGCCAUCAGGAAGCUCAUCAUAUGGGAAUUUCCAGAUUACUUGCCAUUCAGAAGAAGGAAAUCCUGCUUAUGUUUUCCGAGAAAUGACACUGACUAAUCUGGAGAAAGAGGAAAGCCGCCAACUAACCCAAAUCCAGUAUAUAGCAUGGCCUGAUCAUGGGGUUCCUGAUGAUUCUAGCGAUUUCCUAGAUUUUGUGUGUCUUGUGCGAAAGAAGAGGGCUGGCAGAGAAGAACCUGUUGUUGUUCAUUGCAGUGCUGGGAUUGGACGGACUGGAGUUCUUAUCACUAUGGAGACAGCUAUGUGUCUUAUUGAGUGCAAUCAGCCUGUUUAUCCAUUAGAUAUUGUAAGAACCAUGAGAGAUCAAAGAGCCAUGAUGAUCCAAACACCUAGUCAAUACAGAUUUGUAUGUGAAGCUAUUUUGAAGGUGUAUGAAGAAGGAUUUAUUAAACCUUUACAAACAUCACUGCAUAAGUAAAGAGCAAAAAAUGCCCAGGAUAUCAACUGAGGAAUCCUGUCCUCUAUAAUGUACUGGCAGCAUUCUUUGUGCCAUAAUACUGCUUGCAGGAAAUGAUAGUGAAGUACAGCAAAGAAUUGACAAAGGACUUUGAAAACUUCAGCACUGUUGCACUUUAUGUUGAAACAAAAUCAGUCUCUGAAACUCUUCUAACCUUCAUCUGUUUGAAGACUUUUAUUUUCGUGCUUUGCUCCGAACAAACCAUAAACUGAAAGAACUAAUUGUGUUCAGGGUAAUCUACGAUAUUUCGUUGUAGUGCCAUAUACUGCGCUUCUGAUUGAAUUGCUACAAACAAGGCUUGGAAUUAUUUCACUCUGUUUUACACCCAUGUCUCUUAAAAUGAAAAAGAAACAAAAAAACACACUAAGCCAUGGUCUUUUUCCAGUGCUAGGUUUAUUUACUAUGUACAGACUCUCACUGUUUUGUUUUUUACAACAUUAGCAAUAUUGCUGUUACUAGAUAGAUACACACUGCCUACUGAUGCAGCACACUUUGUCCUACACCCUUACUAGAGACCAGCUGGUUGUUAGAGGAGAGCUGGCGUCUGUGUUAACCCAGCAGUAGCUGCAUAAUGCCCACUUACCAGCAUCUUGUACAAAAUAAUAACAAUAAAAAUAUAAAAAAAUAAACAGCAUUUCUUUGACACAGCUUGUGUGUCAUACACUGGUGUAUUCUGAUUCGUGUGACUUAAGAUUACAUGAUGGGAACUAAUGCAUGCAUUAUGUCUUAACCCCUUAAGUGCCUUGAGACUUACAGUGUACAUCCAGUGAAAGGCACUAAUGAUUCUGUGGGGGUGGUAUUGUCCUGUCAUAUUUAUCUUAAUGGGUUCACAUAUUAAAAAAGGCCCUUGGUGCUUGGACUAUGUUACCACAAGGGGUCAUGGAAAUACCAUUCCCUCUUUCUUUAUACAAGUACCUGCGUGCUGCUUUCGGUAGCGAAAGCUCCUUUGCCAACUUAAUGAAUGAGCAUUGUAUGCUGCUGUGCUGUAAUUAUGUGAAAAAUCUGACACAUUCCUUCAGCCCUUCCAACUAGUAACUUACUAGCAGCUUACAAUGAAAUGCUGGUAGGGUCAUUAGGAGCUGAUACUUCCAUUUAUCCUUUUAUUGGGAAUAGCUGUCUUACUCGAUUAGAACAUAACUUUUUAAUAGCACUGAUAAUUAAGUUGAGCUUACAAUCAGAUGUUAUUUAAUUCCAUUAUCUGCUAACCAAUUACUUGUUAAGUCCUCAUAGUUGAUUUCAAGCCAUGUUCGUACAGGUCUGCCUUUUAUUUUAUUUUAUUUUAUUUUUUAAUUGCUUGGCUGGGGGGAAGGGAGGAGAACACUAUGAAGUUGUCCCAGAACUUUAUUUUAAUUCCAUAAUGACCCCAGUCGCCUUCUGUUAUGCUUGUACAAAAUUGUUCCAGUUGAAUAUGGGUUGCUUCUUAUUUAAGUAGCUAGCAGAUUUGUAAGAAAUGUCUGAUACAGUAUCUGAGCUCAUUCUAAAGAUACAUAAAUGUCCCACUUUUAAUAUUUUUUCAGUGUAGGAGAAACCAAGUCAGAAGCCAGGUAUCCGGUGUAAUAUACUGUAAGAAAAAAAUCAGUCACUUUGACUGCCCUGUGACAACAUAACUGUGUGUCCUCUAUUUAAAAGUUCUAAUUUAUUGUAUUGGUUUCCUGAAAAUGUUUACCCAAUAAAUUUUGUUAUAAACUAUAUAGAGCAUAGAAUUAAAAUGGAAAGUUCUACACUAAAUAAUUUUUAACUAUUGAAGUAUUAUAUUAUAUAAUAUACUGUGUUCUAUGGACAUUUGAAACAGAUCAGCUAUGAACUAUUAAUGAAAGGGGAUUCAGGCAAAGUGAAAUCCUAGCUUAGGACUUAGUAAUAAACAUGAACCACAAUGCCAAAUGGAAGAUAGAGUUUUAAAUAUUUUUAGAAAGCAAAAUAAUAUUAAAUGGCCUGUGGCCCUGUUACUUGUAUUUCUAGAUUUGAUGUUUAAAUCAAUAUUAUCCCUCAGUGAAAAACUAAUCUUACAAGAAUCUUCUGAUAAACUGAAAAAGAGUAAUAAGGUAGCUUUAAUCUUGGUUUUAUUUUAAGCCAUUUGCGACAAAAGAAAACUCCUCUUUAGAAUUUUUUAACUUCCAUGUGACAAGAUUAUUAGCUGAGAUGCUGGUUAGUUGGAAGGUUAUUUUAAAUUGAGCACUUAACAUCUAAAAAUUAAAAUAAUUCAUCCAUUAUAUUGAAAUAAAUUUUCUUCAUAGUCAAGUUCUAAAUGAAAAUAGCAUUUGCCCAUGUAUUCUAAGGGAAAUCAGACAUGGGAGUUUAUAUCAACAUUAUAUAGUGUUGGUAUGUCACGUAAAUAUUCCUGUGUAAAGUUGCCAAAGCAGUUUUGAGUUCAAAAGACCCAUUUAUACCACAAUUAAGUGUGGAAUAUUUAUUGGUUGUCUGUCAUUACUGUUUUGAUUACAAACACAGGCAAGAAUAAUAACUCUCUUCAAAAUUUUUCUCUGCACUGGCUUAGGUGGAUUUGUAGUGUAUUAAAUAGUUGCACUGGGGAAAAAACAGAACAAAGUAACUAUUUUUAGAUAAUUGUCCAUCAGCAACUCAGUGGCUUUUCGGCUUCUCCAAAGGCAGGAUAGUAGUAACCAAAAUAUUGAUUGGGAAAGGGAAUAGUGCCGAAGCCUUUCUGCACCAUAAAACUUCUGUUCAUAUGUUUCUGCCUCUUGUGGUAUAAAUGGCCUUUAAAAUAUUUUUAUAUGGCCAAAAAAAAGCAAAACUGCUAAAUAUUUUACAUUGGGUUAUGAAGAUCUGUAUCAUCCUUAAGAGUUUUUAAAGAAGUGUUUUUGUAUGUUUCAUGCUGUACAAAACAUGAAUGUAUCUUUCAGACAUAAUGACUUAUAGACCUAUAUGUGAUUGGUGUUAUGACUGUUGGAUUUUAUGAAUAAUUAUUUUCAUACCAUUUGAUUAGGAAAAAUGUUGGGUGGGUGUGGGAAAGAGUAUGUUUGUAACACUUCCAUGAUGCAAAUCCAGUUUAAGAAAAACAAAAAAAACCCAUUGUAAAUAAGAGCAAUAUUAUGACAAUUUUGUGCCAAUGUAUAAUGUUAAGACUUUUGUUUUCCUUUUAGGCUGGGAUUGAAAGCUACCACUACCAUCUCUUGUUUAAAGUGUUUUUGAAGGUUUUGGGGUUUUUUUUGUAGAAAUACCUGGGGCUCUAGUGGGGACUUUAAGUGUUCAGGGGCCUUUUUUCUUUCUUUGCUAAAUAUGAAAUAAGGUGCAGGUAUUGUUUAAUAAACCACCUACAGAUUGUCAGCCAAUCCACUUUGAGAAAUACUGCUUUAGAUACUCCAGGUAACUGAGAGCUGAAGAAUUCACCAUGAAUUGGGAAGCAUUUGGGGUUUUAAAUAACUUACAAGUCUUAAGCAGUAAAAAAACUGCUGUUAUGCAUUUGAUUUUUAUGUAUUCUCUCCCAGUUAAUGAAAAAGCCUGAUUUUUUUUUCUCACUACAUUUAAUGCUAGCUGAUGUGUCUUCCAUGUUCCUCUGUUAAGACUUGAAAGCUUAUGUCCCAUAUAGGUAAAGCAAUAAUACUACUUCUAGAAUAUCUGAUUACAGUCUGGCACACCAUCUAUUAGAGAAAGCAGUUGGGAGAUUAAGGAACAUGAGAGUUAUGGAACCUGUGUAGCUGGCAACUUUCCAUGAAGGCCUUCCAGAAAGCUUUGUGGUACCUGUUGAAGGGCUAAAAUGCAGCAGACAUGCUGCAGUUGCACUGCCCAGGGCAACGGGAAGUAGGGAAGGUCUGGCAUAGAUAUGAUGGAGCUCUAUGUAUGCAGUGGAGCUGAAUUAUGUGGUAUUUUUAUGCUUCUGCAGUGUGCAUGCAGGUAUGUGGGUGAUGUUUGAUGGCUCAGGGAAUUGGCACAAGCAUGAAAAACUGUACAGAUCCAGCAAUUUCCAAAUAAAAGCAGGUCUUCCAAUAUGUGUGCUAAAGUUUUGACUAUAGAGCCACUAUGAGAUCAAUCUUAAGACCCUCAGCCCUAAGGAUAAAGGAAGGGAUUGAGUUACAGGUCAAAGUAAAAUUUUGCACAUUUAGACUUCCACAAAGUACAGGAAUGGUGCCCUCUAAUGUCAGCUGUAGUCUUUUUGUAGCUCUCAUUUCAGGCCCCAGGUUGGCUGGGUGCAUUUGCUCAUUUAAGUACCCACCUUUUGCUUAUUGUGUUGAGACUGGAAAAGUUCUUUUCCAUUGCUAUUCAGCGCUGGGAUCCAGUAUCAAAGUCUGGUAAAAACAAACUCAUUGCUUAGAUGUGAGCCUUGCAUGAAAUUAGAGGGAUUAUGAUUAGGGGUGAUUGGGAAGCUGUUACAAGGGGAGAAUGGUUUGUUUCAGUGUAACUGUUCUAUCCAGUCUCUUAUCCCACUGCAGUUAUCAAUUGAAACUGAUAAUUUGUUUGGGGGUUUUUGUUUGUUCAGCAGUCUACAGAGGAGGCCAGUUUGUUAUCACUGGAUUGUACCUCUGUGCUAGUUGGUACCAGUAACGUGCAUCUUCUCGCUUCUCCAACUACAAGUUUUAACUGAUGCAUUAGUUGUAAGCUCUGGCUGUUGGCUGAGGCACAUUUUGCUCUUUGAGAGCUCAGGGGUGAGAAUUUGAGAUAAAUCACUUUAAAAACAUGCUGAAAUUUCCAGUUAAAAAGAUUUUGACUUUUUGAUUUCUUCAAAACUGUAGCCUCAUUUUAAAACAAACAAACAAACAAUAAAACCAAACCACCACUGAGGUAUCUAUCAUUCUAGUCUGCUGUAGCAUGAACUAUGGUUUCACAGGCUGGCUGACAGUUUGUUGGUUGUGUUAUUUCAUAUUUAGCAAGCUUACACUUUUUAAAGGGCAAUUUUUUUCAAAGUGUUUUGAUGUUUGAAUAGUAGCACUUUAUCUCAUGCUUACUACUGACUGAACUAUUGGACAAAAUAAAUUGGGUUUGGAGGGAGAUGCUUAAUGGGUUUCUGUACAGAGAUGAUUCGGAUUACACUCUGCUACAAAUGUUUUCUGUUGUUUGAACCAUUUCUGGUUUGUUGCUCCUGCAUUUCUGAGGGACUCUCGGAAAAUAGAUAUUAAUAUUUCUAUCAUGUCAAUUUUCCUGUCUUAAAAAGAAUCUAAAGCUUGCAUCUGGGGGAAAAAAUGGUGCAAAUAAAAAUGACAGGGUACUUGUAAAUGUAUCUCUGAUCUCUCUCAGCUAGCUGCAGAUUAGCUGUGUUUACUGUAAAGGUUUCUGCUAAGCUUUAUUUCUAACAUUAGAUCACCUGGAAAUCAGUAUUUUCUUUUUCUUAACUUAUUUGAAUUUUUAUAACUAAAGAUAAUGCACAGCAAAGUUUAAAGAAGUUGUCACCCUUUUGCUCCUAGGCCAGGGGCCUAGGACAUGAGUGAAAGGGUUAAACAGUUUACAUUAAGCUGUUGUUUUCUUUAACUAAAAUAUAUCCACAAAGACGAGGCUAUAAAUCAUCCAGUGCAAUUAUCUCGAUACAUUGGGGCACCACAGUAUCAACCCAUAAUAAUCUUACAGGAAAAUGAAGGUAGGAAAACAAAAGUUUUACUUUAUCCAAUGUAGCUGGAUUUGUUUUCCAUUUGCUUUGGUUCAUUUACCAGUGAUGCCAUUUUAACCCAUCAAUUUGGCAGGGCUGUUUGUGUAAGUUUUGGGGUUUUUCCUGUACCAGGUGCUAUACUAUAUGUAAAUACAAAGGGAAGACUAUUAUUUAGAUCAUAUUAGCAAUCAGAUAGUGGCAAUAUUUUUUGCUAGUUACUUCUGAUAAUUAAUUUGCAUUUCCAGGUGUGGCUUUCAGUUGCCAAAUUUCAUCUCAUUUCAUACUGCUGAAUGAUGGACUGCAAGUGUGAUCAUCUCAGAGUUGAAUAGCUCUUUCGUUGUUUAGACUAACUCUUGUGUAUCUUUAUUAAUGUUGGGGGUGGGAAGGUUCUUCCUAUAAGUAGACUUUUGCCUAUAAAUUUGUUUAAAAGCACAUGAGGGGGAGGAAAAAGAACAAACCUAAAUGCAACAUCUUGGCUAAAUAGCCAGGGUGGUUGAUCAAAAAUGAUGGAAACUUGAAAUUGGUCAACACUGGACAAUAUGAAAAUAAAUUCAUCUUUUGUCACUGCAGCUACUGUAUGCUUUAAAGGGCCUUAUGUAUUUGUCUUCAUUUUGAUAAAAUGAAAUAUCUUGCCAUUAAAAUGAUACACUAACUUCUACCGAAAACCAGCAGUUCCCAGGAUAAAUAUGCUAAUUAACAUUUAACAAGUCUUGUUUUAGUCUUAAGAAAAAUUUCAUUCUAUUAUGUGAAAAAAUGCUGUUAUGCAUAUUUUGUGGAUAUAUUUAAUUUCAGUUGACAGAUAGUUGUCUAGGUACAGACUUGAAAAUAUAUAUAUAGUUUACUUGUGGAUAUUAAUUGUUUAAUUGCAAAAUAAAGAUGUGCUUUAGUAAUUUAAA
Molecule: RNA transcript, 9480 nt
Organism: Melopsittacus undulatus (budgerigar)
Lineage: Eukaryota; Metazoa; Chordata; Aves; Psittaciformes; Psittaculidae
Gene: PTPN4
Gene name: protein tyrosine phosphatase non-receptor type 4
Exons: 28
Source: RefSeq, a predicted model, not a curated record